GACGAACGCUGGCGGCGUGCUUAACACAUGCAAGUCGAACGGAAAGGCCCUGCUUUUGUUGGUUGCUCGAGUGGCGCACGGGUGAGUAACACGUGAGUAACCUGCCCUUGACUUUCGGAUAACUUCAGGAAACUGGGGCUAAUACCGGAUAUGAGCUCCUGCUGCAUGGUGGUGGUUGGAAAGUUUCGGCGGUUGGGGAUGUACUCGCGGCUUAUCAGCUUUUUUGUGGGGUAGUGGCUUACCAAGGGUUUGACGGGUAGCCGGCCUGGGAGGGUGACCGGCCACAUUGGGACUGAGAGACGGUCCAGAAUCCUACGGGAGGCAGCAGGGGGGAAGAUUGCAGAAUGGGCGGAAGCCUGAGGCAGAAACGCUGCGUGCGGGAUGACGGCCUUCGGGGUGUAAACCGAUUUCGCCUGUGACGAAGCGUGAGUGACGGUAAUGGGUAAAGAAGCACCGGCUAACUACGUG
RNAcentral lists this ribosomal RNA (468 nucleotides) under uncultured bacterium. RNAcentral describes it as "partial 16S ribosomal RNA". It matches the Rfam family "Bacterial small subunit ribosomal RNA", at positions 28 to 507 of the family's 1533-position model. The record is from RNAcentral.